AGAGUUUGAUCCUGGCUCAGAGUGAACGCUGGCGGCGUGCCUAACACAUGCAAGUCGAACGAGAACGGGUUACAGUUUACUGUAACUGUCAGCUAAGUGGCGCACGGGUGAGUAAUAUAUAGUUAACCUGCCCCAAAGAAGAGAAUAAUUGUUGGAAACGACUUGUAAUGCUCUAUAUGCCUUUAUCACAUAAGUGAGCAAGGGAAAUAUUUAUAGCUUUGGGAUGGGACUGUACGGUAUCAGUUUGUUGGUGAGGUAAUGGCUCACCAAGACUAUGACGCCUAACUGGUUUGAGAGGAUGAUCAGUCACACUGGAACUGAGACACGGUCCAGACUCCUACGGGAGGCAGCAGUGGGGAAUAUUGCACAAUGGACGAAAGUCUGAUGCAGCAACGCCGCGUGGAGGAUGACACAUUUCGGUGCGUAAACUCCUUUUAUAUGAGAAGAUAAUGACGGUAUCAUAUGAAUAAGCACCGGCUAACUCCGUGCCAGCAGCCGCGGUAAUACGGGGGGUGCAAGCGUUAAUCGGAAUUACUGGGCGUAA
Molecule: ribosomal RNA, 544 nt
Filed under: uncultured bacterium
Lineage: Bacteria
Description: bacterial SSU rRNA
Rfam family: Bacterial small subunit ribosomal RNA
Source: RNAcentral